RNAcentral lists this ribosomal RNA (233 nucleotides) under uncultured Candidatus Saccharibacteria bacterium. RNAcentral's name for it is "partial 16S ribosomal RNA". It matches the Rfam family "Bacterial small subunit ribosomal RNA", at positions 584 to 818 of the family's 1533-position model. Lineage: Bacteria; Candidatus Saccharimonadota. The record is from RNAcentral.
UAAGCGAAGCAUGAAUCUUAUGGCUCAACCAUAUGACUAUGCUUUGAACUGCUUAGCUUGAAGGCGAGAGAGGUAACUGGAAUUUCUAGUGUAGGAGUGAAAUCCGUAGAUAUUAGAAGGAACACCGAUGGCGUAGGCAGGUUACUAGCUCGCUCUUGACACUAAGGCACGAAAGCGUGGGAGCAAAUGGGAUUAGAUACCCCAGUAGUCCACGCCGUAAACUAUGCUUGCUA